UACGUAGGGGGCAAGCGUUGUCCGGAUUUAUUGGGCGUAAAGAGCGUGUAGGCGGCCAGAUAGGUCCGUUGUGAAAACUGGAGGCUUAACCUCCAGCUGUCGAUGGAAACCAUCUGGCUAGAGUCCGGAAGAGGAGAGUGGAAUUCCUGGUGUAGCGGUGAAAUGCGCAGAUAUCAGGAAGAACACCUAUGGCGAAGGCAGCUCUCUGGGACGGUACUGACGCUGAGACGCGAAAGCGUGGGGAGCGAACAGG
RNAcentral lists this ribosomal RNA (253 nucleotides) under uncultured bacterium. Its description in RNAcentral is "partial 16S ribosomal RNA". It matches the Rfam family "Bacterial small subunit ribosomal RNA", at positions 524 to 776 of the family's 1533-position model. The record is from RNAcentral.